Molecule: ribosomal RNA, 2122 nt
Filed under: Klebsiella pneumoniae
Lineage: Bacteria; Pseudomonadati; Pseudomonadota; Gammaproteobacteria; Enterobacterales; Enterobacteriaceae
Description: bacterial LSU rRNA
Rfam family: Bacterial large subunit ribosomal RNA
Source: RNAcentral
GGGUUGUGAGGUUAAGCGACUAAGCGUACACGGUGGAUGCCCUGGCAGUCAGAGGCGAUGAAGGACGUGCUAAUCUGCGAAAAGCGUCGGUAAGGUGAUAUGAACCGUUACAGCCGGCGAUGUCCGAAUGGGGAAACCCAGUGCAAUUCGUUGCACUAUCGUUAACUGAAUACAUAGGUUAACGAGGCGAACCGGGGGAACUGAAACAUCUAAGUACCCCGAGGAAAAGAAAUCAACCGAGAUUCCCCCAGUAGCGGCGAGCGAACGGGGAGCAGCCCAGAGUCUGAAUCAGCUUGUGUGUUAGUGGAACGGUCUGGAAAGUCCGACGGUACAGGGUGAUAGUCCCGUACACCAAAAUGCACAGGCUGUGAACUCGAAGAGUAGGGCGGGACACGUGGUAUCCUGUCUGAAUAUGGGGGGACCAUCCUCCAAGGCUAAAUACUCCUGACUGACCGAUAGUGAACCAGUACCGUGAGGGAAAGGCGAAAAGAACCCCGGCGAGGGGAGUGAAAAAGAACCUGAAACCGUGUACGUACAAGCAGUGGGAGCACCUUCGGGUGUGACUGCGUACCUUUUGUAUAAUGGGUCAGCGACUUAUAUUCUGUAGCAAGGUUAACCGUAUAGGGGAGCCGCAGGGAAACCGAGUCUUAACUGGGCGUUAAGUUGCAGGGUAUAGACCCGAAACCCGGUGAUCUAGCCAUGGGCAGGUUGAAGGUUGGGUAACACUAACUGGAGGACCGAACCGACUAAUGUUGAAAAAUUAGCGGAUGACUUGUGGCUGGGGGUGAAAGGCCAAUCAAACCGGGAGAUAGCUGGUUCUCCCCGAAAGCUAUUUAGGUAGCGCCUCGUGAAUUCAUCUUCGGGGGUAGAGCACUGUUUCGGCUAGGGGGUCAUCCCGACUUACCAACCCGAUGCAAACUACGAAUACCGAAGAAUGUUAUCACGGGAGACACACGGCGGGUGCUAACGUCCGUCGUGAAGAGGGAAACAACCCAGACCGCCAGCUAAGGUCCCAAAGUCAUGGUUAAGUGGGAAACGAUGUGGGAAGGCACAGACAGCCAGGAUGUUGGCUUAGAAGCAGCCAUCAUUUAAAGAAAGCGUAAUAGCUCACUGGUCGAGUCGGCCUGCGCGGAAGAUGUAACGGGGCUAAACCAUGCACCGAAGCUGCGGCAGCGACACUAUGUGUUGUUGGGUAGGGGAGCGUUCUGUAAGCCUGCGAAGGUGUGCUGUGAGGCAUGCUGGAGGUAUCAGAAGUGCGAAUGCUGACAUAAGUAACGAUAAAGCGGGUGAAAAGCCCGCUCGCCGGAAGACCAAGGGUUCCUGUCCAACGUUAAUCGGGGCAGGGUGAGUCGACCCCUAAGGCGAGGCCGAAAGGCGUAGUCGAUGGGAAACAGGUUAAUAUUCCUGUACUUGGUGUUACUGCGAAGGGGGAACGGAGAAGGCUAUGUUAGCCGGGCGACGGUUGUCCCGGUUUAAGCAUGUAGGCUGAUUGUCCAGGCAAAUCCGGAUAAUCAAGGCUGAGGUGUGAUGACGAGGCACUACGGUGCUGAAGUAACAAAUGCCCUGCUUCCAGGAAAAGCCUCUAAGCAUCAGGUAACAUUAAAUCGUACCCCAAACCGACACAGGUGGUCAGGUAGAGAAUACCAAGGCGCUUGAGAGAACUCGGGUGAAGGAACUAGGCAAAAUGGUGCCGUAACUUCGGGAGAAGGCACGCUGGUGUGUAGGUGAAGCCCCUGCGGGUGGAGCUGAGACCAGUCGAAGAUACCAGCUGGCUGCAACUGUUUAUUAAAAACACAGCACUGUGCAAACACGAAAGUGGACGUAUACGGUGUGACGCCUGCCCGGUGCCGGAAGGUUAAUUGAUGGGGUUAUCCGUAAGGAGAAGCUCUUGAUCGAAGCCCCGGUAAACGGCGGCCGUAACUAUAACGGUCCUAAGGUAGCGAAAUUCCUUGUCGGGUAAGUUCCGACCUGCACGAAUGGCGUAAUGAUGGCCAGGCUGUCUCCACCCGAGACUCAGUGAAAUUGAACUCGCUGUGAAGAUGCAGUGUACCCGCGGCAAGACGGAAAGACCCCGUGAACCUUUACUAUAGCUUGACACUGAACAUUGAGCCUUGAUGUGUAG